Long non-coding RNA from Vombatus ursinus (common wombat), 566 nucleotides. RefSeq lists it as uncharacterized. NCBI's taxonomy places the organism in Eukaryota, Metazoa, Chordata, Mammalia, Diprotodontia, Vombatidae. The record is from RefSeq and is a predicted model, not a curated record. The transcript is spliced from 3 exons.
UCUGUAGUCGAAUGGUUUGCUGCUGUCUGUGACACCUACUGGCUGUGUGACCUUGGGCCCUGGCAGAAGGAGCACCUGCACAGAGGAAAUGAUAGCUUGCGUGCCCUAAUGCAUGACCUAGAAUCCCAGGACAUCAGAGCCAGAGGGAAUCUUCCAGGCAGCGUAUGGCACUUCAUGUUUUGGACCAGGACACCAAGAGUGAUCGACCCGAGACUUUUUACUCCAAGACUCUGCAGGGGAGUUCUCAGCUACCACACCCAAAAUGACUACACAGCAAAGAAAUGCCAAGAUCGGAAGUUUCUCAAGCACCAAAUGGUUCCAAAAAAAUCCCGGGACCUAGGGUUUCACCGGUGAGGAAACCUCUCAGUCCCGUGCUUCUCUCCUCAGCCAAGGAAACUCUUGGCCAGCUACGCUGUGGAAGCUCCCCCAGAUCUGGGCCUCUUACCUACAUGGCACUUAAUGAAUACUUCUGGAUUAACUGCUACAGGCGGUGCAAUGGACAGAUCACCGGCCCUGGAGUCAAGAGAACCUGAGUUCAAAUCCAGCCUCAGACACUUGACACUUAC